UGCAUCUUGCCAAUGGGCAAAGAGACACCUUGUUGGUGGUUUUGUAUCUGUAUUGGUCAGGGGCAGAGCAGAUGACAGUCCUUUGCUCAUGCUAGCCUGAUGCCUAAUUUGGUGGCCAAAGCUGUUUUAUGCCUAGGGCACAUAA
Small nucleolar RNA from Acomys russatus (golden spiny mouse), 145 nucleotides. RefSeq annotates it as small nucleolar RNA SNORA48. The record is from RefSeq and is a predicted model, not a curated record. The transcript has a single exon. Lineage: Eukaryota; Metazoa; Chordata; Mammalia; Rodentia; Muridae.